RNAcentral lists this long non-coding RNA (1034 nucleotides) under Dromaius novaehollandiae (emu). Its description in RNAcentral is "lncRNA (ENSDNVG00000000358.1)". The record is from RNAcentral. Lineage: Eukaryota; Metazoa; Chordata; Aves; Casuariiformes; Dromaiidae.
CGCGCAGGGGAGGCAGCGGCACCCCGCUGCGGCUCGCCGGCUGCCGGUGCCUCGCGGCGGCGGCGAAGAUGAGGGUGGCUUCUGGCUUUUUUUUUUUCCCCUCCUCAAGAUGAUUUCCAUAGUAACCUGAUCGAGCGGUGCAAUUUCGGAAACUGGGUGUUUUUUCUUUUUUCCUUUUUUUUUCCCGCUCGCUUCCCCCCUCCCUCCCCGCCCCCGAGGAAUGACAUCUGACAGGAGGUGGAUCCUGUAUGAGCUGUGACACGCCGAGCUUCCUCUUGAGGAACAGGGCACUGGCAUGGGAGAGGUUUAUCCACGUAGUCCCUUCCCAAGGCUGCAGAUGAAUGCUCGCUGUCACAAGGCUCUGCUGAGAAGGGAGCGGAAACCAGCUCAUCUCACUCUGCCUCUCAAAUGCAGUUCACAGACAGGAUGUAACCUUAUGUAAGAUGGAAGCCUGUGAAGAAAGAUACAGAUAGCGGUUGGAGUUAAAAGUAGCAGAUGAAUAUUUCUCUUCUUAAGUGUCAGCUUUUUUAGAAUGCUAUGGUGAUUUGGAAAGUCCCCAGAGUGAACUGCAAAGUUUUCCUCAGCUCAAUCGAUGGGUUUUUUAGUUAUUUCUCCAAGUCACUGAUGUUCAGAGAUGGUGUGUGAUGGAAAAAGCACCAUGUCUGUGUGUUUGUAGCCCCUGUUUUUUGGAUUAGUUUGCUGUACUGCUGAACCAAUUUCGUUUUGAAGGGCAAGGAGUGAAUGUGAUGGAUUUAUCUUCAGAAAUGAACAAACAUGGAAGGAAUCCAGUAAGUCACAAGCUAGAAGAUCAAAAGAAGGUAACAUUAUUUUUUAUCAUACUUAAUUAUCUUUGAAUUGUAAAGUCUUUGGUGAUUUUUAGUAAACUGGAAACAAGUGUGCUUUAGACCAUGAAGUAGCCUGCCUUUGAGCUCACACAGUGUAGCAGUACAGUGAACUGCUGUUAUGCRACAUUGUCUAGUAAUUUUGUUUCUAAAACUGCCUGAUUGCCUGGUAAUUUUGUGUCAAACGCUCAA